This 99-nucleotide non-coding RNA is filed under the name Lacrimispora celerecrescens. RNAcentral's name for it is "Clostridium celerecrescens TPP sequence". It matches the Rfam family "TPP riboswitch aptamer (THI element)". Rfam says of the family: Vitamin B(1) in its active form thiamin pyrophosphate (TPP) is an essential coenzyme that is synthesised by coupling of pyrimidine and thiazole moieties in bacteria. The record is from RNAcentral. Lineage: Bacteria; Bacillati; Bacillota; Clostridia; Lachnospirales; Lachnospiraceae.
UACACACGCUAGGGGAGCCAUUGGCUGAGAUUGGUAGAAACCAAACCCUCACUACUUGAACCGGAUAAUGCCGGCGUAAGGAAGCAAUAGUAGUCCCCU